RNAcentral lists this ribosomal RNA (496 nucleotides) under uncultured bacterium. RNAcentral describes it as "partial 16S ribosomal RNA". It matches the Rfam family "Bacterial small subunit ribosomal RNA", at positions 29 to 507 of the family's 1533-position model. The record is from RNAcentral.
AUGAACGCUGGCGGCGUGCCUAAUACAUGCAAGUCGAGCGAACGGACGAGAAGCUUGCUUCUCUGAUGUUAGCGGCGGACGGGUGAGUAACACGUGGAUAACCUACCUAUAAGACUGGGAUAACUUCGGGAAACCGUAGCUAAUACCGGAUAAUAUUUUGAACCGCAUGGUUCAAAAGUGAAAGACGGUCUUGCUGUCACUUAUAGAUGGAUCCGCGCUGCAUUAGCUAGUUGGUAAGGUAACGGCUUACCAAGGCAACGAUGCAUAGCCGACCUGAGAGGGUGAUCGGCCACACUGGAACUGAGACACGGUCCGGACUCCUACGGGAGGCAGCAGUAGGGAAUCUUCCGCAAUGGGCGAAAGCCUGACGGAGCAACGCCGCGUGAGUGAUGAAGGUCUUCGGAUCGUAAAACUCUGUUAUUAGGGAAGAACAUAUGUGUAAGUAACUGUGCACAUCUUGACGGUACCUAAUCAGAAAGCCACGGCUAACUACGUG